Molecule: ribosomal RNA, 467 nt
Filed under: uncultured bacterium
Lineage: Bacteria
Description: partial 16S ribosomal RNA
Rfam family: Bacterial small subunit ribosomal RNA
Source: RNAcentral
ACGAACGCUGGCGGCGUGCUUAACACAUGCAAGUCGCACGGAAAGGCCCUGCUUUUGUGGGGUGCUCGAGUGGCGAACGGGUGAGUAACACGUGAGUAACCUGCCCUUGACUUUGGGAUAACUUCAGGAAACUGGGGCUAAUACCGGAUAGGAGCUCCUGCUGCAUGGUGGGGGUUGGAAAGUUUCGGCGGUUGGGGAUGGACUCGAGGCUUAUCAGCUUGUUGGUGGGGUAGUGGCUUACCAAGGCUUUGACGGGUAGCCGGCCUGAGAGGGUGACCGGCCACAUUGGGACUGAGAUACGGCCCAGACUCCUACGGGAGGCAGCAGUGGGGAAUAUUGCACAAUGGGCGGAAGCCUGAUGCAGCAACGCCGCGUGCGGGAUGACGGCCUUCGGGUUGUAAACCGCUUUCGCCUGUGACGAAGCGUGAGUGACGGUAAUGGGUAAAGAAGCACCGGCUAACUACGUG